AUACGGAGGAUCCGAGCGUUAUCCGGAUUUAUUGGGUUUAAAGGGUGCGCAGGCGGCCAUUUAAGUCAGCGGUUAAAUCGUGGGGCUCAACCCCAUUCUGCCGUUGAUACUGGGUGGCUUGAUUGCGGUCGAGGUUGGCGGAAUUCGUUGUGUAGCGGUGAAAUGCAUAGAUAUGACGAAGAACACCGAUUGCGUAGGCAGCUGACCAGACCGCAAAUGACGCUCAUGCACGAAAGUGCGGGGAUCGAACAGGAUUAGAUACCCUGGUAGUCCGCACAGUAAACGAUGAAUACUUGUUUUCGGCGAUAUAAUGUCGGAGGCAAAGCGAAAGCGAUAAGUAUUCCACCUGGGGAGUACGCCGGCAACGGUGAGACUCAAAUGAAUUGACGGGG
This 392-nucleotide ribosomal RNA is filed under the name uncultured bacterium. RNAcentral describes it as "partial 16S ribosomal RNA". It matches the Rfam family "Bacterial small subunit ribosomal RNA", at positions 523 to 918 of the family's 1533-position model. The record is from RNAcentral.